Molecule: ribosomal RNA, 425 nt
Filed under: uncultured bacterium
Lineage: Bacteria
Description: partial 16S ribosomal RNA
Rfam family: Bacterial small subunit ribosomal RNA
Source: RNAcentral
GUGGGGAAUCUUGCGCAAUGGGCGAAAGCCUGACGCAGCCAUGCCGCGUGAAUGAUGAAGGUCUUAGGAUUGUAAAAUUCUUUCACCGGGGACGAUAAUGACGGUACCCGGAGAAGAAGCCCCGGCUAACUUCGUGCCAGCAGCCGCGGUAAUACGAAGGGGGCUAGCGUUGCUCGGAAUUACUGGGCGUAGAGGGCGCGUAGGCGGACAGUUUAGUCAGAGGUGAAAGCCCAGGGCUCAACCUUGGAAUUGCCUUUGAUACUGGCUGUCUUGAGUACGGGAGAGGUGAGUGGAACUCCGAGUGUAGAGGUGAAAUUCGUAGAUAUUCGGAAGAACACCAGUGGCGAAGGCGACUCACUGGCCCGUUACUGACGCUGAGGCGCGAAAGCGUGGGGAGCAAACAGGAUUAGAUACCCCGGUAGUCC